Molecule: transfer RNA, 67 nt
Filed under: Tricentrus sp. CPL-2004
Lineage: Eukaryota; Metazoa; Arthropoda; Insecta; Hemiptera; Membracidae
Description: tRNA-Leu
Source: RNAcentral
UCUAAUGUGGCAGAAUUUAAUGUAAUGAAUUUAAGAUUCAUAUAUAGAUACUUUUAUUUCUUUAGAA